UAAGCCAACAGAACUUAAUAAGGUGAUGGGACAGGAAGCAAAAAUGUUUCUGGCUAGUGGAGAAAACACGGCUUAUAUUAGAUGCUGAUUCAAAGCAUAUUCCACCUUCUGGAGAACCCUGCUCCAGUCAUCAAAGCUGCUGACACCUAAAUGCCACUAUAACAAUAUCUUCAAAAGGCCAUCCCAUCUUUCUAUCAGGCCAGCUGCUUCAGGAUGGUGGGGAACAUGCAAAGAACAGUGGAUUCCAUGAUCAUGGGCCCACUGUCAUACUCCUCUGGCUAUCAACUGCAGCCCACCGAUUAGAAAGUUGAGAUUUAUUGCAUGUAGUUGUCUGGAUGACUCUACUUCUUAUCAUUUACUGGAAUGUGACCUUCAAAUGUAACUCCUAUAUUCAACAUGAAAGAUUCUGUUGGGUAUAUAUAGCUGUGAACAACAAAGAGAUGCAGAGCCUACAUGAGAGAAUAAAGAGAAAAGGAACCA
This is a long non-coding RNA of Peromyscus maniculatus bairdii (prairie deer mouse), 480 nucleotides long. RefSeq lists it as uncharacterized. NCBI's taxonomy places the organism in Eukaryota, Metazoa, Chordata, Mammalia, Rodentia, Cricetidae. The record is from RefSeq and is a predicted model, not a curated record.